RNAcentral lists this long non-coding RNA (832 nucleotides) under Chrysolophus pictus (golden pheasant). RNAcentral's name for it is "lncRNA (ENSCPIG00010011107.1)". Lineage: Eukaryota; Metazoa; Chordata; Aves; Galliformes; Phasianidae. The record is from RNAcentral.
GGGAGCGGGGAGGGAGGGAGCAGGGAGGGAGGGAGGCAGGGGAGGAAGGACGGGGAGAGUGCGUGUGUGCGAGAGGGGGGAGAGGCAGGGGAAAACUGCGGAGAGCGAGAAGAAAAGUGCGAUAGGAGCCCGGCCCCGGGGAGAAGUACGGUUGAAGAGCCGCUGGAGCGAGCCCGAGCUCCCGGGGGAGAAGGAAGGUUGGCCCGUGGAGAGGCAGCCAGCAGCAAAGCAGCCGGUCCUUCUCCGCGGCUUUUUCACGUCCGAAGAGUUUGCGGCGGGGUUUCCCGGCUCCCUGGGGAGGCUCCGCGGGAUGAAGCGGGCAGCGGAGAGCCGCGCCUUGGCGGGAGGCUUAGCGCAAGCGGACACGCUCAGGGAGCCGCGGUGACAUCCAGAAGUCCUUUGAAUUUCACAUGUUUUUCCAAUCGCUCAAUCCAAAAUAUAUGGUGUCCUCCUUUCCCACCCCCCACCUCUUUCCUAGGAAUGUGCGUAAUAAAACCUAAUCGCCUGGGACUCUCCUACUUUCUGCAUCUGCUGGACACGAAGUCCACCCGGCUCUGAAGCUGAGCUGCUAUGGGACGCCCGGCGGCCUCGGUCACGUCUGCAAGUGGGAAACCCCGAAUGAGCCUUUGCGCUACAUUAACUGUCCCGCUGCCGUCCGGGGCUCCCUCGGACGCAGCAGCCCUCUUCGCCUCCUGCAGCCAUCUCCGAAGCGGAGAUCGGGACGCUCACCCCAGGAGCGCAACUCCGGACCAAGACAAAGUGUGCGUGCCGGGGGUGGGGGCUGGGGUAGGUUAAACUUCUCAAUAUCUAUCUAUCUAUCUAUAUAUUCUAU